UACAGGUCACCAUGAGUCAAACCAGGUGUAAGGUCCUAUGAGGAGUGGAGACUGACCAACCAGAGGAACACAAAUAAGGGUGAUAGUUGCCGCUUCAUUCCAGCCGAUGGUCACAUGGGAAAUGAAUUGCACUGUUGCCAGACUUUAGUCCAAAAUUUAUUUAAAUGCCAAGUUUUGGGUUUUUGGUUUUUUUUUUUUUUACUUUUAAUGCUGUUAGUUUUUUUUGAAAGACCUCCAAAAACUGCUAUGAGCCAAACAAAAACAUUCUGUGGCUCUGAUGUGACCAGCGGUGGUCACCUUUUCACUGCUGCCAGCUGUUAGGUACUGGGGAAGGCUAAGUGACAUGGGCUAAAAUUGUCCCUCUCAGUUUUUUUUAUGUCUAUGAGAGUGACUUCUAGGUUCUAUAGAAACAAUUACUCAGAAGUUACUUUGUCUUUAAAACCAUUCAAGAUGUCAAAGUUCCAAAUUCAAGGUCUUAGUUCUUUUCAAAGCUUUUAAAUUUAGGUUGCAAAUCUUAAUUGCUCAUAACAAAGAAGUUUAAUAUUUGAUCUGAAUUACAUUUAAACUCCUUUAAGUAACUUCACAUCUAAAAGGUUUAUAUAAUUGAUUUCCUCAAGUAUUUCAUUUAUCAGACCAAAUCAAACUUCCCCAGCUACUUAUUACUAUUCCUAACAAAUUAAGUUUAUAAGUAUAGCAAACCUUGCCAUUUUAUUUUUGUUUGGUUGGUUUUUUAGCUGUAUUUUUUUUCCUUUUUAGCAUUGGCCAUAGAACCCAGGAUGUUGCACCAAGUGCUUUGCCACUGAGUUACAUCCUAACCCUAAUAUUGCCAUUUUAAAUGUUCCAAAACUACAUUAAAAACUUCGUGGGAUUUUAACUUAAAAAAAAACUGUUUAAAAUAGCACAUAUUCUUCCACAUGUCAAGGAUUUCAAACACAAAACUCCAAUAGCCAGGCAUGGUAGCACAUGCUUGUAAUCUCAGCACUCUAGAGGCUGUGUGUUAGGAGGAUCAAGAGUUUGAGGCUAGCUUGGGCUACAGUGACAGUC
This is a long non-coding RNA of Perognathus longimembris pacificus (Pacific pocket mouse), 1044 nucleotides long. RefSeq lists it as uncharacterized. The transcript has 3 exons. NCBI's taxonomy places the organism in Eukaryota, Metazoa, Chordata, Mammalia, Rodentia, Heteromyidae. The record is from RefSeq and is a predicted model, not a curated record.